This 1173-nucleotide unclassified non-coding RNA is filed under the name Hevea brasiliensis (rubber tree). The record is from RNAcentral. Lineage: Eukaryota; Viridiplantae; Streptophyta; Magnoliopsida; Malpighiales; Euphorbiaceae.
AACUCCUUCUGGCAUGAUGAAAGGUAACUGUUUCUAGUUCGAUUUCUGGGGUAUUUAUCUGUUAAUAUAAGUAAUUUAUCACUUCUUUUACUGCUGAAUAUGUUAAAUGAGAUCAUUAAUUGAAGAAAUUUUUUAUAAGACCUGGUAGAUAACAGUGAACUUGGACAGUUGUUCUUUUGCAAAUUCUAUGCCACUAUACUGAAUACUUAAGAUGCUUCUUCUGUGUGAUGGCAGAACUAGAUAAGGUAGCAUUUGAAGGAUGGUAUCUUUGUUUUUUUUCAUUUUCUUUCAGCCUUGUAAUAAUUUGAAUAUGACUUGAGAUCAUGAACCAUGAUAUUACAUAUUUCGAAAAUAGUGAAAAGAUGAUUGUUUAUAGUUGUUAGUGAUUGUAACUUCUCAUGAUAUUUGUGUGACGGAAAAUUAACAUUCACAUUCUUCGUUUUGGUAAGCUUUUUAUGCUGUAUGUUUUAACAGUAAUGCUGCAUUUAGAUCUCUACAACAUGAGAUUCUUAAAAAGCCUGAGCGUGACCCUAAACAUAUUAUGUUUAUUGGUAAGUUUGGAAACAUGAAAGUGUUAACGUAGAACCUGUCUCAUAUGAAAACAAAUUCUAGCAAAAAUUAUUUCCAGCACCAUGAUCAUCUAGUGGUGAUUGUUAAAUUGUAUUGUAGUCUGGGGGUCGUGUAUCUUCUUGGGACCUGGAUUUGUAACCAACCUGAUAUUCUUCUUGUGAAACUUUUUUUCCCAUUCAAUGUCAUUGAUGUUUGAGGUUUUUUCUGUGUGGUUUCUUAGAACUUGGAAAGUUUUUACUGAUAAUCCUUAAUUCCUUGUACAAUUCAAAGCAGUUUGCCACUGUAGCUUCUCAAUGCUCCAAAUAUGACACAGCUUUCAGUACAAUGCCAUUUUUCAUUCACAUCCCUUUGGCAAGAUUUGAGUAGAUCCAUCUUUGAAUUUGCUUUAUCAAAUAUUUUGUUUGUCAUUGAACCCGGUUUAUGAUUUUGACAUAACAUUCUAUAGCAUAAUGGAAUUGAAGCAUAUUUUCUUUUGCAUGCAGUGGCUUCCAUGGCAUUUAUGAUGUUGAGUAUUUUAUCCAGUCACUGAGAUUUGAUGUACGUAUUGUGGAAAGGAUACCAGAAAUUCAUAAAAAUGGGAAAACCAAGAAGAUAAAGGCUUUU